Molecule: RNA transcript, 1743 nt
Organism: Carya illinoinensis
Lineage: Eukaryota; Viridiplantae; Streptophyta; Magnoliopsida; Fagales; Juglandaceae
Gene name: cell division protein FtsY homolog, chloroplastic
Exons: 12
Source: RefSeq, a predicted model, not a curated record
GAAGCCGUGCUUCUCGGUAAGUUUUAUCUCAAUUUCCAGAUGGUGGUCCAACUGUGACGGCUUGAGUAGGAAAAAUGGCUGCUUCUACUGCUCAUCUCUCCCUCCUCUCCAAAUCGUCACCCUCCUCACCUUCAUUGCCGCACGUCUUCUUCACUCUGCCCAAAACUAACUCCGUCCGGGCCAAUUCCCGGUUCAGAUGCUCGGCCGGACAGACGGGGUUCUUCACCCGGCUCGGUCGCUUGCUUAAGGAGAAGGCCAAGAGUGACGUCGACAAGAUCGUCUCGGGCUUCUCGAAAACGCGCGACAACCUCGCUGUCAUUGACGAGCUCCUCCUCUACUGGAACCUUGCUGAUACCGAUAAAGUCCUCGACGAACUCGAAGAGGCUCUACUGGUGUCUGAUUUCGGACCAAAGAUCACCAUUAAGAUUGUGGAGAGCUUGCGUGAGGAUAUAUUGGCAGGGAAACUCAAGUCAGGGAAUGAGAUUAAGGAUGCAUUGAAGAAAAGUGUGUUGGAGUUUUUAACUAAAAGCGCUAAUAAAACCGAGCUUCAACUUGGAUUCAGGAAGCCAUCUGUGAUUCUGAUUGUCGGCGUUAAUGGAGGAGGCAAGACAACAUCACUUGGAAAACUGGCCUAUAGACUGAAAAAGGAAGGGGCCAAGAUAUUGAUGGCAGCAGGGGAUACUUUUAGAGCAGCUGCUAGUGAUCAGCUGGAGAUAUGGGCUGAGAGGACUGGAUGUGAGAUAGUUGUGGCUGAAGGAGACAACGCCAAAGCAUCAUCUGUUCUUUCACAAGCUGUCAAAAGAGGGAAAGAACAAGGUUUUGAUGUAGUAUUAUGCGACACGUCUGGACGUCUCCACACUAACUACAGCCUGAUGGAAGAGUUGAUUGCAUGUAAAAAAGCUGUGGGCAAAGUUGUUUCAGGUGCACCAAAUGAGAUCCUGCUAGUUUUGGAUGGGACUACUGGUUUGAAUAUGCUACCACAAGCACGAGAGUUCAAUGAAGUCGUUGGAAUUACUGGUUUGGUUUUGACAAAACUUGAUGGUUCUGCCAGAGGUGGCUGUGUGGUACGCUUUAUACUCAUUUGAACGGUGAGCGUGGUAGAUGAACUUGGCAUCCCUGUAAAGUUUGUUGGUGUUGGAGAAGGUGUUGAAGACCUUCAACCGUUUGAUGCUGAGGCCUUUGUUGAUGCCAUAUUUUCAUAGAGCCUAAAAGUUGAUCGGUAGUUUUUCGUUAUUGAGUGUACAACUCCCAUUUCUUUCCUAUUAUUUUUUCCUUAUAUUUCAAAAUUGAUUGUAUAGGCUUUACCCUAGUCCAGUUGUGAAUCAGACCCCACUGUCCCACACACAUGAUACCACCCUGACUUGGGUCAUAAUUUCCCCAUGGAAUUUUGGAAUUCUCUCUUCAACUUGAUUCACUGCUACCUGUCUUAUAGCUUGUACUGGUUCAGAAGCCUAAUUAAGGGUGGUUUCUUGUCUUGCAAUUCAGCACAAGUCCUCAGCAUAAUAGCUGUAGCCAGAAGAGGUCAACCUUGAGGUCAGUUUCUGAGAGUUCAAGAACACUUUCUCAUACAAACGUGCGAAGAAGUGGUCCUUGUCAAGACCGUACACAAUUCUUUCCUGCUGAUUAUGGCUGAAAUGAUGAAAAUUUAAUGUGCGAGAAUCCAUCUCUAAUGAUCACUAAUUUGAACUCUCCUUUUCUUUGCGGUAUCAACCAUUCAUAUAUUUAUUUUCAGCAUUUGAGUAA